GUAGUGACUGACUACGGACUGGACGGCCGAUGCCCGACAGGGUCAGAGGAUUUUUUCUCUUGUAAUCAACGUUAGAUUUUUUAGAAGGGCCGGUGUUUUAUUAUCAACUAUCAGCGACUAUCAGCUUCUCAAAGGCUUCAUUGGGUGAUUAACCAAUGUUUUUCGGAACCUUACUUCUCCAUCGUCAGAGUUUACGUAGGAACAUAUCGCCACCGUCACUGGAUUGACCUGGGUCAGAAUUGUAUCCAGUGGGACCUGUUGUGAUGAUUCUGGUGAACACAGCUGAAGAACAUUUCAUGAUCGGCUAAAAAAACUUUUCAUUUUACGUAUUGGCAAUAAAUCAAAGAAUUUCUUCACUCAGCCUCUCAAAUGCUCUUGACAUGAUCAACCCGCUGAUUCAAGUUAACAAACCACUGAGCAUACGAAUCGUAUACAUCAACAAAUUUAAACGCGAUUAUAUUAGAAACAUCAACAAACUAUGUUACAACGCCAGGAACUCGCACUGCACACAGCGCAUAAUAACGAGUAGCCAAACCAGUUCGUUUCUGUUUCCAACAGCUAAAAACAUCUCUGUUUGCAGAGCGCUACUCCAAUUUCAAGCACAUGAUUUAAAAACUGGCCUCUGACAAACAAAGGAAGGCAACGAGCCAUUUUGGUGUCAAAAUGUUUUGAAUUUGCAAGGAUUGAUGGUAUUGCAUGAGAGUCGUUUUAGAGGACAGACGAGAGCAAAAGUUUGAAGACUUGUUCCCUGAAAGCUAGGCUGGUCUGCGGUAGACAUUUUUGAAUGCAGAACGACAUAUUUCGCUUUACAGUAGGUAGAGCUGUCCGACAAUAAACAAUGAGGAUGAGGGAAACGAGAAAUUCACAAAAUAUUUUGGUAUAAAAAUGUAAAGGAAGAAAUUGAUCAGAUGAAAGUAGUGUGUGGAUAAUAUUAAAUUAUUUAAAGCACAGUAAUAAUUUUUGCUACAAUCUGUUGGAAAAUUCAGUUAUCAAUAACUAUACAUUUUAUUUACUCACAGGGUUUAUAUGUGAGUUUUGUAUAAUUAUGACAAUAAACAGCAUUUGCAUUCCUAAACAUAAAUAACUAAUUAAUCUUCGUAAUGGACACGCAGUGUGUUAUUAUCAGCAAAACUUAAUAUGUUAAAAUUUAGGCGAGCUUCGUGCCCUAGAAGUUUAACGGGCUCAGGAGUUUGUUAUGGCCUGAAUAGAACAGGAACAAGUACAUCUGUACUGGGACAUUCUAUAUUGUUAUAACAAUUUUACUCAAUGUUCAGUCACUUACGACAACAAUUUACAGCACCUAAGACUUCGAUAACCACUGAACUUAGUUGCUGUUGUAACCUUUGAAGAAUAUGUUUCAAUUACUAAUCAUCUGCAGGUUCGUUUCUGCACUGAAUGCGUACCCCAGACCACUUUUACCAGUAAACACACCGUUCGUUAAUUUUGUAUGUUACCACGAAGAAAUUGAAAAAAAGUGGGGGUGGAAUAGACUAAAAGAGCAAAAGACACGAUUGAAACCUUGCUGUAUUCAUUUCAGUACUUUUAAAUAGUUGAAUUGUGUGAUGUUUCUUUCAUGCGUGCCCCGCUAUUGUAUCUUGGU
Molecule: long non-coding RNA, 1600 nt
Organism: Zootermopsis nevadensis
Lineage: Eukaryota; Metazoa; Arthropoda; Insecta; Blattodea; Termopsidae
Source: RefSeq, a predicted model, not a curated record